AACAUGGGUAUUGAAUAAUGUGCUACAUAAGCAUAACUCAUGCACUCUCAGCCGUCUGGACAGAGGACAAGGACCGACACCAUAACAGGGGACAGAGAUGCAGACAGUAGCACACACACAGGCAGUAGCACACAGGCAGUAGCACACACACAGGCAGUAGCACACACACAGUAGCACACAGGCAGUAGCACACACACAGGCAGUAGCACACACACAGGCAGUAGCACACACAGACAGUAGCGCACACAGACAGUAGCGCACACAGGCAGUAGCACACAGGCAGUAACACACACACAGUAGCACACAGUGCACACACAGGCAGUAGCACACACAGACACAGGCAGUAGCACACACACAGGCAGUAGCACACAGAGAGAGUAGCACACACAGGCAGUAGCACACAGGCAGUAGCACACACACAGUAGCACACAGUGCACACACAGGCAGUAGCACACACAGACACAGGCAGUAGCACACACACAGGCAGUAGCACACAGAGAGAGUAGCACACACAGGCAGUAGCACACAGGCAGUAGCACACACACACACACAGGCAGUAACACACAGGCAGUAGCACACACACAGGCAGUAGCACACACACAGGCAGUAACACACAGGCAGUAGCACACACACACAGGCAGUAGCACACACACAGGCACACACACACAGGCAGUAGCACACACACAGGCAGUAGCACACACACAG
Molecule: long non-coding RNA, 705 nt
Organism: Clupea harengus (Atlantic herring)
Lineage: Eukaryota; Metazoa; Chordata; Actinopteri; Clupeiformes; Clupeidae
Source: Ensembl